GUGGAAUUCAACCCCAACUUCGUGGCGCGUAUGAUACCUAAAGUGGAGUGGUCGGCGUUCCUGGAGGCGGCCGAUAACGUGAGGAUCCUUACCCCGCCCCAGCAUAUCCCGGGGAAUGCGGGGCGGGCACACCUCAGCCGGGCUGAGGCGGGAGUUCGGGAUGCCCGGAGAUAAUUUCGGUCUCUUGCCCACAGUUGCGCCUGAUCCAGGUGCCUAAAGGGCCGGUUGAGGGAUAUGAGGAGAAUGAGGAGUUUCUGAGGACCAUGCACCACCUGCUGCUGGAGGUGGAAGUGAUAGAGGGCACCCUGCAGUGCCCGGAAUCUGGACGUAUGUUCCCCAUCAGCCGCGGGAUCCCCAACAUGCUGCUGAGUGAAGAGGAAACUGAGAGUUGAUUGUGCCAGGCGCCAGUUUUUCUUGUUAUGACUGUGUAUUUUUGUUGAUCUAUACCCUGUUUCCGAAUUCUGCCGUGUGUAUCCCCAACCCUUGACCCAAUGACACCAAACACAGUGUUCUUGAGCUCGAUAUUAUAUAUUUUUUUCUCAUUAAAGGUUUAAAACCA
This 559-nucleotide small RNA is filed under the name Pan troglodytes (chimpanzee). Its description in RNAcentral is "retained intron". Lineage: Eukaryota; Metazoa; Chordata; Mammalia; Primates; Hominidae. The record is from RNAcentral.